GUAGUCUGCAACUCGAGUACAUGAAGCUGGAAUCGCUAGUAAUCGCAAAUCAGAAUGUUGCGGUGAAUACGUUCCCGGGCCUUGUACACACCGCCCGUCACACCAUGGGAGUUGGAAGCACCCGAAGUCGAUGACCUAACCGAGAGGGAGGAGUCGCCGAAGGUGAAGCCAGUGACUGGGUGAAGUCGUAACAAGGUAGC
This 200-nucleotide ribosomal RNA is filed under the name uncultured bacterium. RNAcentral's name for it is "partial 16S ribosomal RNA". It matches the Rfam family "Bacterial small subunit ribosomal RNA", at positions 1300 to 1500 of the family's 1533-position model. The record is from RNAcentral.